GUCACGAUCUCGGCUCACUGCAACCUCCACUUCCCAGGUUCAAGCAAUUCUCCUGCCUCAGCCUCCCGAGUAGCUAGGACCACAGGCAUGCACCACCACAACCAGCUAAUUUUUGUAUUUUUUAGUAGAGACGUGGUUUCACCAUGGUCUCAAUCUCUUGACCUCGUGAUCCACCUACCUCGGCCUCCCAAAGUGCUGAGAUUACAGGCUUGAGCCACCACGCCCGGCCAAUAGUAAUUAAUUUUAACUGACCAUUAGAAAUCUCUUUUGGAAUGUCACUCUCCUUUGGUGGUUGUUGUGAAGACAAAUUGGAUUAAUACAUGAAGAGUCCUUAGAACUGUGCCUGAUAGAUGGUAUAACUCUGAGAAGUGUUAUAAAAGCACCAGCUCUCUAGAUAAUUACAGUGAUUCCCAUUUUACAGAUGAGAGAACCGAGGUAGAGAGGAGUCACAUCACUCUGCCUAGACUACAUAACUUUUAUGUAGAACUGGGAUUCAAAUCCAGGUCUGUCUUUCAAUCCCACAGUGCUAACCACUGUGCUACACAUAGCCAUAUGCCUGGCUUUGGAGGUGGGGGCAAGUGAAGGAAUAUAGGGGCAGUUAUUCACAGGUUAGCAAGAAUUAAUUCUGUCAGAUUGAUUUCCUACUGAAAAUCAGAUGAGCUCAGCCACACUCAGAAAAUGGAAAUUUUGAUGAGUGAGCAGGACAAGUAGGUUAUCUGGAGAAAGAAUUGGGGUAAGGGACUACAGUGGGGUUUUUUCUUUUUUCUCUCUUUCUUUUUUUUUUUUUUUUUUUUGAGAUGGUAUCUUGCUCUGUUGCCAGGCUGGAGUGCAGUGGUAUGAUCUCGGCUCACUGCAACCUCCGUCUCCCAGGUUCAAGUGAUUCUCCUGACUCAGCCUCCCAAGUAGUUGGGACUAUAGGCAUGUGCCACCAUGCCUGGCUAUUUUGUAUUUUUAGUGGAGAUGGGGUUUUACCAUGUUGUCCAGGCUGGUCUCAAACCCCUGACCUCAAGUGAUCUGCCCACCUUGGCCUCCCAAAGUGCUGAGAUUAUAGGCAUGAGCCACCGCACCCGGCCUGCAGUAGGUUUUGAGUAGGAAGCUUGGAGACAGAGAUCCCCAUAGCUGGGAGAUGCAGAAAAAAGGGCAAUUUGGAGUAAGUUGAAAAUGAACACUGACCUAUGUGAAAUUUUAUUUACAUCUAACCCUAUACCCAGGAGAUGGGGAAGAUUUAUAUCUUUCAUCCCACCUACAGCUCCAGAUAACUUGGUAGGCUACGAGACAGGUUAAAUAAAUUUUUGUGGGCUGGCUGGAAACAGAACGCUUCCAUUCCCAUUUGUAAUGUGUUUCCUUGGGGAAAUGCGUGCUGAGUUCCAAACAAAUGACUUGUAAUUUAAUACAACAUGCGUAUACUCUGCGUCUCCAUGGCUGGGCACUGGACUAGGUGCUGAGGAUAUUAAAAUAAAUAAAGCAAGGUUCCUGUCCUUGGGCAGCCGGAGCCCUGUGAAGGAGGGAAAUGUGUGAGGAACUAAGGGACGACAUGUUAAGCGCAGUAGGAGAGCUCAACAGCCUCCAGGAGAGGAGAAACGUGUAUGGGCUCAAGUUCAAGAUGGCGAGGGUCCUGUCAAGGGCCCUUCGCAGGAGCGAUCCCCACACCCUCCUGCCUGCCACCAUGUAAGAUGUUCUUUGGCUCGUCCUUUGACUUCUGCCAUGAUUAUGAGGCCUCCCUAGCCACAUGGAACUAUGAGUCCAUUAAACGUCUUUUCUUUGUAAAUUA
Molecule: non-coding RNA, 1771 nt
Organism: Callithrix jacchus (white-tufted-ear marmoset)
Lineage: Eukaryota; Metazoa; Chordata; Mammalia; Primates; Cebidae
Source: RefSeq, a predicted model, not a curated record